Non-coding RNA from Chelonoidis abingdonii (Abingdon island giant tortoise), 352 nucleotides. Lineage: Eukaryota; Metazoa; Chordata; Testudines; Testudinidae. The record is from RefSeq and is a predicted model, not a curated record.
CCCCAGCGGGCCAGGGAACCCGCCAGAGCGGGCGAAGGGCGAGCGCAGCGCAGCCAGGAGGCGGCCAGCUGGCAGGGUUGGCUGAACAGUGCCAGCAACGUUACUCCGCUGCUGCCGAAUCAACUGGGCCAACCGGGGGGAGCCAGAUCAAUCUGAGUUGGGAUGGACAGCAGUGUGAACCAGAGAAAGAGAGAAGUUAGCCCUCUAGUGGUUCAGCUCAUAGGAUAAGAGACCUACUACUGCUAUCGGGUGCAGAGAGAGACAGCCUGAACCUUACGGAAGCAUCAUGUCAUACCCCUGCAAUCCCCCUCCCUACAGUGACAAGAACCCCCUCAUCCCGCUGCAGCCUGAG